CAAGUCGAACGGCAGCACGGGAGCAAUCCUGGUGGCGAGUGGCGAACGGGUGAGUAAUAUAUCGGAACGUGCCCAAUCGUGGGGGAUAACGCAGCGAAAGCUGUGCUAAUACCGCAUACGAUCUACGGAUGAAAGCGGGGGACUCAGCAAUGGGCCUCGCGCGAAUGGAGCGGCCGAUAUCAGAUUAGCUAGUUGGUGGGGUAAAGGCUCACCAAGGCGACGAUCUGUAGCUGGUCUGAGAGGACGACCAGCCACACUGGAACUGAGACACGGUCCAGACUCCUACGGGAGGCAGCAGUGGGGAAUUUUGGACAAUGGGCGCAAGCCUGAUCCAGCCAUGCCGCGUGAGUGAAGAAGGCCUUCGGGUUGUAAAGCUCUUUCAGACGGAAAGAAAUCGGGCGCGUGAAUAGCGUGCCUGGAUGACGGUACUGUCAGAAGAAGCACCGGCUAACUACGUGCCAGCAGCCGCGGUAAU
Molecule: ribosomal RNA, 475 nt
Filed under: uncultured bacterium
Lineage: Bacteria
Description: bacterial SSU rRNA
Rfam family: Bacterial small subunit ribosomal RNA
Source: RNAcentral